GGAACCCAAACCACAGACAUAAAUAUGCUGUGUUCUUUGGAGUCCCUUGGCGAGAUAAGGGAGUGUGACACUGGGGAUUAUGGCGUUCGUGGACCCAGGGCUUGUUUCUGAGGAACUAAGAGAGUCAGGGUUUGUGCUCAGGUCCAAAGUCCUCAGGAUCUUUGGUGUGACCCAGACCACAGUGGCCUGGACCACGCUGGGGGUGCAGAGAGGUUCACACCCUCUGUAGUGCAUCCCCAAAGUGCAGGGUGGGGAAUCUGCCGGCAACACAGCACCCCAGCGCAGCACCCGAGGAUGCCUCAGAGAGGCCAGUGGAGGAGCGGGCAUGUCGGGUACCUGUGUCUUCUGCCUGAUUCUCGUUAACCUGAAAAUCCUGUUUGGUUUUCCUGCGCUUCUUGAGAAUGUCACUCAACCCAAUGAAUCCUUUCUGUGACCUAAGCAUCAUGAGACCUGCAAUACUCAGCUUCCUGCUUCCACCUUGGCCCCUACGCAAACUGUUAUCCACACCCAGUCACAAGGAUCCUGUGGAAACCUGUCAGGGAUAAAUGAAGCAUCCUGGCGUCAGCUACUCAGACCAAGGCUCAGGAUGAGAUGAAGUGACAAAUCAUCAAUCUGAGAUGAAGUUGCCAGAGACCUGUGUGAUUCCACAUGCCUCUCGGUCCCUGCCACCAUGAUGGAUAGAUGUGCCCGGCAUGGCCCACUGGCCCCAGGAGAAGGACGAGGGCAUGAGGGACAGUGAUGAGCCCGGCCCACUGUGGCUUCCACCUGAGCAGGAAGACCAGCCACGAGGACAAAAGUCGCCUAUUCAGGAUGGCUGAGCAAAAACGAGGAAAGACCCCUCGCUCCUGGUGGAUCAGAGCCGCCCCAUCAGCCCUGUGAGCCCCUGGAUCCUUAGGAGCUAGGGGUGAAGGUCAAGGGCAGCCCAGCCAGCGAGCAGGCUGGAUUGGUGUUCCUCAAAGCUGCAGGCGACCUGAUCGAGCCGCCACACCAUCUCCACGCCCGCUUCACGAUGAGGCAUUUUGAGUUGGGUUUGCAGCUCCUGGCUCUUGGACGUGCCCAGGGCACAGUGAUGUCUGGUGCUGAGCAAGACCUAAGUUCCAGGAGCUGAGAUGGGCUGGGUCUGGACACAAGUGAAAGGGCAGGUGUGCUUUCCUGCCACUCCAGAAGAUGGCAGAGAGGCGGGCUGAUUUCCUGUGUGUCCUCCAGCCGCAGCCAGUGGCCCCCAGCUAAGGAGUAGGGUCCAUGUCUACUUUUGACAUCCAGGGAGAGUCCGGAGUCUGAGUCUUGGAGUGUUUUUGUUCCCCUGGAGGAGGAAGCUAAGGUUUGUGAGGGAAGUAGUACCACCCAAGGCACAGGGCCCUGGUUGGAUUUGAACCCAGAUCUGCUGGGUUCUGGAACCGUUCUGGGCCCCAUCUCCUCACUGCUAAAUGAAGAGAUUAUUCAAGAUCAAAGCUUUUCCAACAUUUCCUUUCAAAGCAGGCAAAGGCCUCUUUUACAGCUGAACUUUCACUUGGUGCCCAACCUAUAAACCAAGAUGAAAGAGACAGUUCAGAGACGAGGGUCAGCGGCCCCAGGUUCCUCCCUGGAAUCCUGGGGCUGGUGGGCCUUUGGGGAAAACCCAGCCCAGACAGUGUCAAGGCCCUUGGGAAAGUGUCUGCAUCUUAGUGGGGAGUCAGAAACAUCGCUGAGACGGUGUGUGGAAGACAGCCGGCCCAGGGCAAGAGGGACAGAAAGCCAAAGUGAAGCGGCAAAGCAGGGGCCCAAAACUCUUCUCCUCUGCCAGCCUCCACCCUGCCCUGCAUCCCCAAGCAGCCCAAUGCCCUGGCCUGUGUCUCCCCCAGAGAUGGCCCGGCUGUCCCCCAGCAAGGAGCACCCUCCCUCCUUAAAUCUCUCUCUCUCUCUCUCUCUCUCUCUGUCUGUCGUCUCUCUCCCUUUCACACACUCACACACACACACAGAGUGUAGCACUCUAUAAUCGCGGCUUUGUUUCUUGUUUUCCUCAGUUAACAUUGCAUCUUGGCAGUUGUUCCAAAUCAGUACACAGAGAUGCUGGCUUUACUUCGGUGGGCGCACCGUAUUGAAAUAGUACUUAAUUUAGAAGGCGACAGAGGCCUCCGUUCUUGGCUCCCGGACCGUUUCCAGCAUUGCAGGGUCAGAGAGUGCAGAUGGCUGCCCUUAGGUCCUGCAUCUUGCUGUCCAUUUAUCACUUGAGAUUCCCCUUCCUCGCUCCCUCCCGCCUCGCUCCUCCCUCUUCUCUCCCUCCUCUUUCUUUCUGU
Heterocephalus glaber (naked mole-rat) is the source of this 2276-nucleotide long non-coding RNA. RefSeq lists it as uncharacterized. The record is from RefSeq and is a predicted model, not a curated record. NCBI's taxonomy places the organism in Eukaryota, Metazoa, Chordata, Mammalia, Rodentia, Bathyergidae.